This 152-nucleotide ribosomal RNA is filed under the name Asterostroma muscicola. RNAcentral describes it as "partial 25S ribosomal RNA". It matches the Rfam family "Eukaryotic large subunit ribosomal RNA", at positions 1 to 152 of the family's 3401-position model. Lineage: Eukaryota; Fungi; Basidiomycota; Agaricomycetes; Russulales; Lachnocladiaceae. The record is from RNAcentral.
CUCAAAUCAGGUGGGACUACCCGCUGAACUUAAGCAUAUCAAUAAGCGGAGGAAAAGAAACUAACAAGGAUUCCCCUAGUAACUGCGAGUGAAACGGGAAGAGCUCAAAUUUAAAAUCUGGCAGUUUUUGAAGCUGUCCGAGUUGUAAUUUA